UCUACGGGAGGCAGCAGUGAGGAAUAUUGGUCAAUGGGCGGAAGCCUGAACCAGCCAAGUCGCGUGAGGGAAUAAGGCCCUACGGGUCGUAAACCUCUUUUGCCGGGGAGCAAGGGCGGGGACGUGUCCCGGCCCGGAGAGUACCCGGAGAAAAAGCAUCGGCUAACUCCGUGCCAGCAGCCGCGGUAAUACGGAGGAUGCGAGCGUUAUCCGGAUUUAUUGGGGUUAAAGGGAUCGUGGGCGGGACUGCAAGUUGGGUGUCAAAUCUACCGGCCCAACCGGUAGCCGCACUCAAAACUGCAGUUCUUGAGUGAAGUAGAGGCAGGCGGAAUGCCUAGUGUAGCGGUGAAAUGCGUAGAUAUUAGGAGGAACACCAGUGGCGAAGGCGGCCUGCUGGGCUUUUACUGACGCUGAGGCUCGAAAGUGUGGGGAGCAAACAGGAUUAGAUACCCGGGUAGUC
This 460-nucleotide ribosomal RNA is filed under the name uncultured bacterium. Its description in RNAcentral is "partial 16S ribosomal RNA". It matches the Rfam family "Bacterial small subunit ribosomal RNA", at positions 338 to 795 of the family's 1533-position model. The record is from RNAcentral.